RNAcentral lists this small RNA (96 nucleotides) under Sinorhizobium meliloti 2011. RNAcentral's name for it is "putative ncRNA". Lineage: Bacteria; Pseudomonadati; Pseudomonadota; Alphaproteobacteria; Hyphomicrobiales; Rhizobiaceae. The record is from RNAcentral.
UUCCUCGACCUGAUCGCAGCGCACCACCUUGUGCGCUGCGAGGCGAUCGAGCGCCGCCCCGUGAUCUUCGGUGAAGAGCUCCAGCCAUAUCUCUGC